AUGAACGCUAGCUACAGGCUUAACCCAUGCAAGUCGCAGGGUAACAUGAGGAAAGCUUGCUUUCCUUGAUGACGACUGGCGCACGGGUGAGUAACGCGUAUCCAACCUUCCCAUAACUACGGGAUAACCCGUUGAAAGACGGCCUAAUACCGUAUGAUAUCGUUUGCUGACAUCAAAUAACGAUUAAAGGUUUAGCGGUUAUGGAUGGGGAUGCGUCUGAUUAGCUUGUUGGCGGGGUAACGGCCCACCAAGGCGACGAUCAGUAGGGGUUCUGAGAGGAAGGUCCCCCACAUUGGAACUGAGACACGGUCCAAACUCCUACGGGAGGCAGCAGUGAGGAAUAUUGGUCAAUGGGCGAGAGCCUGAACCAGCCAAGUAGCGUGCAGGAUGACGGCCCUAUGGGUUGUAAACUGCUUUUAUGUGGGGAUAAAGUGCGUGACGUGUCAUGCAUUGCAGGUACCACAUGAAUAAGGACCGGCUAAUUCCGUG
RNAcentral lists this ribosomal RNA (489 nucleotides) under uncultured bacterium. RNAcentral's name for it is "partial 16S ribosomal RNA". It matches the Rfam family "Bacterial small subunit ribosomal RNA", at positions 29 to 507 of the family's 1533-position model. The record is from RNAcentral.